GCCUCUGUGGCGCAAUUGGCUAGCGCAUGCGACUUGUUAGUACCCGAAAAGCCCCAAUUAAUAUUGUCCACAAAUGCUAAUCCAUCUUACAGCUAUGAAACAUCGUUUGAAAUCGCAAGGUUGCGGGUUCGACCCCCGCCAGAGGUU
This 147-nucleotide transfer RNA is filed under the name Penicillium polonicum. It matches the Rfam family "tRNA". From Rfam's summary of the family: Transfer RNA (tRNA) molecules are approximately 80 nucleotides in length. Their secondary structure includes four short double-helical elements and three loops (D, anti-codon, and T loops). Lineage: Eukaryota; Fungi; Ascomycota; Eurotiomycetes; Eurotiales; Aspergillaceae. The record is from Rfam by way of RNAcentral.